Molecule: ribosomal RNA, 423 nt
Filed under: Salmonella enterica subsp. enterica serovar Anatum
Lineage: Bacteria; Pseudomonadati; Pseudomonadota; Gammaproteobacteria; Enterobacterales; Enterobacteriaceae
Description: bacterial SSU rRNA
Rfam family: Archaeal small subunit ribosomal RNA
Source: RNAcentral
GCCUACGGGUGGCUGCAGGCGCGAAAACUGCACAAUGUGGGAAACCACGAUGCGGGAAACCCAAGUGCCAGCACUAUGUGUUGGCUGUCCUCCAGUGUUCGUAACUGGGGAAGAAAGAGCUGGGUAAGACGGGUGCCAGCCGCCGCGGUAAUACCCGCAGCUCAAGUGGUGGUCAUUAUUAUUGGGCCUAAAGCGUCCGUAGCUGGCCUGUUAGAUGCCUGGGUAAAUCGAUGCGCUUAACGUAUCGAAUUCCGGGUAGACCGGCAGGCUCGGGACCGGGAGAGGCGUGAGCUACUCGGGGGGUAGGGGUAAAAUCCUGUAAUCCUCCGGGGAGGACCAGUGGCGAAGGCGUCACACUAGAACGGCUCCGACAGUGAGGGACGAAGCCCUGGGGCGCAAACCGGAUUAGAUACCCUUGUAGUC